UCAAGCUGGAAAGAGCGCAAGGGGAAUGCCUUGGCAUCAGGAGCCGAAGAAGGACGUGACAAGCUGCGAAAAGCCUCGGGGAGGAGCAAAUAUCCAUUGAUCCGGGGAUAUCCGAAUGGGGCAACCCGGCUGGACAAUAUCCAGUCAUCCUGCGUUGAACAAAAUAGGCGUAGGAAGGGAACCGCCUGAACUGAAACAUCUAAGUAGGGCGAGGAAGAGACAUCAACCGAGAUUCCGCAAGUAGUGGCGAGCGAACGCGGAAGAGGCCAAACCGAGGGAUUUAUUCCUCGGGGUUGCGGACAGUCAUUUAGCGGAAGUUAUCUAGGAGAAGGGUCUGGGAAGGCCCGCCACAGAGGGUGAGAGCCCCGUAUCCGAAAGAGAAGGCCGUGCGACUGAAUCCAGAGUACCGCGGGACACGUGAAACCCCGUGGGAAACAGGGGGGACCACCCUCCAAGCCUAAAUACUACCUGAUGACCGAUAGAGGAGCAGUACCGUGAGGGAAAGGUGAAAAGGACCCCGGGAGGGGAGUGAAAGAGAACCUGAAACCUUGUGCUUACAAGCUGUCAAAGCACGUUAACGUGUGAUGGCGUACUUUUUGUAGAACGGUCCGGCGAGUUAUAGUAACGAGCGAGCUUAAGGCAUUCAGUGCCGGAGGCGAAGCGAGAGCGAGUCUGAAUAGGGCGUAAAGUUCGUUGCCAUAGACCCGAAACCGGGUGACCUACCCAUGAGCAGGUUGAAGUGGGGGUGAAACCCCAUGGAGGACCGAACCGACCCCCGUUGCAAUGGUGGCGGAUGACUUGUGGGUAGCGGUGAAAUUCCAAUCGAACUCGGAGAUAGCUGGUUCUCCCCGAAAUAGCUUUAGGGCUAGCGUUAUGUUAGAUUACCGGAGGUAAAGCACUGAAUGGUAGCGGGGCCGAUAAGGUUACCAACGCCUAUCAAACUAAGAAUGCCGGCUAAUUGAUGCAUAGCAGUCAGACAGUGUGAGAUAAGUUUCAUUGUCAAAAGGGAAACAGCCCAGACCUACAGCUAAGGUCCCGAAUAGAUGCUAAGUGGAAAACGAUGUGGAGUUGCGAAAACAACCAGGAUGUUGGCUUAGAAGCAGCCACUCAUUAAAAGAGUGCGUAAUAGCUCACUGGUCGAGUGACUCUGCGCGGAAAAUAUAACGGGGCUAAGCGUAACACCGAAGCUUGGGCUGCACAGCAAUGUGCGGGGUAGGGGAGCGUCGAAUAUGGGGUGAAGUCGCAGCGGAAGCAGCGGUGGACUGUAUUCGAGUGAGAAUGCCGGAAUGAGUAGCGAGAAUUAUGUGGGAAUCAUAAUGGCCGAAAAUCUAAGGUUUCUUGGGGAAGGUUCGUCCGCCCAAGGUAAGCCGGGAGCUAAGGCGAGGCCGAAAGGCGUAGUCGAUGCACAUACGGUAGAAAUUCCGUAGCCACCGAACUUUAAGUCAGAGGGACACUUUUGGAUAGCGGAACCCGGGCGUUGGUUGACCCGGGCGAAAGGGAGCGAAAAUAUAGUAGCGAAGUCCGCGAUGCUGAGAGGCGAGAAAAGCUCUGAUGGAUACUAAGGUGCCCGUACCGCAAACCGACACAGGUAGAUGAGGAGAGAAUCCUAAGGCCAACGGGAGAAGGGUUGUUAAGGAACUCGGCAAGUUGACCCCGUAACUUCGGAAUAAGGGGAGCCUCGAAAGAGGCCGCAGUGAAAAGGCCCAAGCAACUGUUUACCAAAAACACAGGUCUAUGCUAAAUCGAAAGAUGACGUAUAUGGGCUGACGCCUGCCCGGUGCCGGAAGGUUAAGAGGAGAUGUCAGCGCAAGCGAAGCAUUGAAUUGAAGCCCCGGUAAACGGCGGCCGUAACUAUAACGGUCCUAAGGUAGCGAAAUUCCUUGUCGGGU
This 1889-nucleotide ribosomal RNA is filed under the name human gut metagenome. RNAcentral describes it as "bacterial LSU rRNA". It matches the Rfam family "Bacterial large subunit ribosomal RNA", at positions 3 to 1977 of the family's 2925-position model. The record is from RNAcentral.